CCUACGGGAGGCAGCAGUGAGGAAUAUUGGUCAAUGGACGAGAGUCUGAACCAGCCAAGUAGCGUGAAGGAUGACUGCCCUAUGGGUUGUAAACUUCUUUUAUAUGGGAAUAAAACGUUCCACGUGUGGGAUUUUGUAUGUACCAUAUGAAUAAGGAUCGGCUAACUCCGUGCCAGCAGCCGCGGUAAUACGGAGGAUUCGAGCGUUAUCCGGAUUUAUUGGGUUUAAAGGGAGCGUAGGUGGAUUGUUAAGUCAGUUGUGAAAGUUUGCGGCUCAACCGUAAAAUUGCAGUUGAAACUGGCAGUCUUGAGUACAGUAGCGGUAGGCGGAAUUCGUGGUGUAGCGGUGAAAUGCUUAGAUAUCACGAAGAACUCCGAUUGCGAAGGCAGUUCACUAGACUGCAACUGACACUGAGGCUCGAAAGUGUGGGUAUCAAACAGGAUUAGAUACCCCGGUAGUC
RNAcentral lists this ribosomal RNA (460 nucleotides) under uncultured bacterium. Its description in RNAcentral is "partial 16S ribosomal RNA". It matches the Rfam family "Bacterial small subunit ribosomal RNA", at positions 338 to 795 of the family's 1533-position model. The record is from RNAcentral.